RNAcentral lists this unclassified non-coding RNA (169 nucleotides) under uncultured Dermateaceae. Its description in RNAcentral is "sequence contains ITS1". Lineage: Eukaryota; Fungi; Ascomycota; Leotiomycetes; Helotiales; Dermateaceae. The record is from RNAcentral.
CAGAGUUCUUGCCCUUACGGGUAGAUCUCCCACCCCUGUGUAUUUAUACCUUUGUUGCUUUGGCAGGCCGUCAGGCUUCGGCCUUGCCACCGGCUCCCAGCUGGUGUGUGCCUGCCAGAGGAUCUCAAACUCUGAAUGUUAGUGUCGUCUGAGUACUAUAUAAUAGUUA